CUUUUCUCCCACCUCAUCAAUGCAUGCUUGGAGUGAAAGAUCAAGUUGGUCUUGAUUCUUCAGGUGAUUGGGAAAUCCUAGGUCCCAGGACGUGCUGGGUGGGCUCUGAGGCAGACCAACCCAUAACCCCAGAUCCACACAAACACCGAAGAACAAUCCCACUCACCACAAUGAAAACAUGAAUGGAAGAAGACUCUGGGCUCAAUUCUGAAGGCAAUAGUCUCCAAACUGUUUCUCUCAACCUCAACCAGCCUCUCUGCCUGCAGACACUCACACCACUCUCAUUCACCACCCCCUUUGCUCCACCCUGUGUCUAGGUUAGAGUAGCCCUGUUGCCAUGGUCUGAGAGUACUGAUGCCACCACUUCAUUCAGCUGUGUCUGACUGUUCUUUCUACCCACCUCCCCUGCCCAUAUUGCAUCCCCUCAUGCCAUAGGUGCAAUAUAAAGAAAUCUCCAAAUGCUGUCCCUCUUCCAUCUCCCCACCCUCAGUUCUCCAUUCUCCCUACAAUACAGACAGGAAGAAGUUCCAGGGUUCCAGUGACCUUGUCCCACAUGCCCUUCACCAGGGUGAGGUUGAGGGGGUCUGGGGAGAAUACAUGGAGACGAAAGCAAGCAGUUGAGUCCAUAGGCCCUCCCUCGUGAGCUUCCUCCCAGCCUGGAAUUCAGACGGAGGAGAGACAAGUCUCUCCCACUCUAACCAAUAUCCCCCUGACUCUGGGCCAGGUCAACAGAACCACAGCGGCCACAGGGCUCUAAGCCCAACCAAAUGACAGAUCUCCUGCCCUUAGGCCACACCAGGAGCUGGUCCUCAGCCAAGCCUGCUCUGUAGUUGAAAGAGGGAUAUGGAAAGAAGGGCUGGAAGAGAUUGACUGCUAAACAGAUUGUGAUAUCAGAAUCAUCCUCUUUAUGACUACAAGACCAAAAAUCUAUCUGGCUCUUCUUUUCGACCAACCAGCUAAAGAUACAGAAUGGUCAUCUCUGAAUUCACCCUGUGACCCAAUGGAACCCAGGGGUCUUUUCUUCUAAACCUAUUACUAUUUGUCAACCUAUAUAAUUAGUUUUGUUAUCUGUAUGCACAACCUGAACUAGUAAAACUUUGGAGUGAUUAGGCCA
Phascolarctos cinereus (koala) is the source of this 1114-nucleotide long non-coding RNA. RefSeq lists it as uncharacterized. Lineage: Eukaryota; Metazoa; Chordata; Mammalia; Diprotodontia; Phascolarctidae. The record is from RefSeq and is a predicted model, not a curated record.